RNAcentral lists this ribosomal RNA (497 nucleotides) under Enterococcus durans. Its description in RNAcentral is "bacterial SSU rRNA". It matches the Rfam family "Bacterial small subunit ribosomal RNA", at positions 46 to 524 of the family's 1533-position model. Lineage: Bacteria; Bacillati; Bacillota; Bacilli; Lactobacillales; Enterococcaceae. The record is from RNAcentral.
GCCUAAUACAUGCAAGUCGUACGCUUCUUUUUCACCGGAGCUUGCUCCACCGGAAAAAGAGAGUGGCGAACGGGUGAGUAACACGUGGGUAACCUGCCCAUCAGAAGGGGAUAACACUUGGAAACAGGUGCUAAUACCGUAUAACAAUCGAAACCGCAUGGUUUUGAUUUGAAAGGCGCUUUCGGGUGUCGCUGAUGGAUGGACCCGCGGUGCAUUAGCUAGUUGGUGAGGUAACGGCUCACCAAGGCCACGAUGCAUAGCCGACCUGAGAGGGUGAUCGGCCACAUUGGGACUGAGACACGGCCCAAACUCCUACGGGAGGCAGCAGUAGGGAAUCUUCGGCAAUGGGGGGAGGGCGGGCCGACAACGCCGUGUGAGUGAAGAAGGUUUCGGAUCGUAAAACUCUGUUGUUGGGAAAAACAAGGAUGAGACCCCCCGUCCCCCUUGAGGUUUUAACCAGAAAGCCCGGCUAACUACGUGCCAGCAGCCUGGGUAUU